Molecule: ribosomal RNA, 933 nt
Filed under: Lactiplantibacillus plantarum
Lineage: Bacteria; Bacillati; Bacillota; Bacilli; Lactobacillales; Lactobacillaceae
Description: bacterial SSU rRNA
Rfam family: Bacterial small subunit ribosomal RNA
Source: RNAcentral
UGUCUGAUGGAGCACGCCGCGUGAGUGAAGAAGGGUUUCGGCUCGUAAAACUCUGUUGUUAAAGAAGAACAUAUCUGAGAGUAACUGUUCAGGUAUUGACGGUAUUUAACCAGAAAGCCACGGCUAACUACGUGCCAGCAGCCGCGGUAAUACGUAGGUGGCAAGCGUUGUCCGGAUUUAUUGGGCGUAAAGCGAGCGCAGGCGGUUUUUUAAGUCUGAUGUGAAAGCCUUCGGCUCAACCGAAGAAGUGCAUCGGAAACUGGGAAACUUGAGUGCAGAAGAGGACAGUGGAACUCCAUGUGUAGCGGUGAAAUGCGUAGAUAUAUGGAAGAACACCAGUGGCGAAGGCGGCUGUCUGGUCUGUAACUGACGCUGAGGCUCGAAAGUAUGGGUAGCAAACAGGAUUAGAUACCCUGGUAGUCCAUACCGUAAACGAUGAAUGCUAAGUGUUGGAGGGUUUCCGCCCUUCAGUGCUGCAGCUAACGCAUUAAGCAUUCCGCCUGGGGAGUACGGCCGCAAGGCUGAAACUCAAAGGAAUUGACGGGGGCCCGCACAAGCGGUGGAGCAUGUGGUUUAAUUCGAAGCUACGCGAAGAACCUUACCAGGUCUUGACAUACUAUGCAAAUCUAAGAGAUUAGACGUUCCCUUCGGGGACAUGGAUACAGGUGGUGCAUGGUUGUCGUCAGCUCGUGUCGUGAGAUGUUGGGUUAAGUCCCGCAACGAGCGCAACCCUUAUUAUCAGUUGCCAGCAUUAAGUUGGGCACUCUGGUGAGACUGCCGGUGACAAACCGGAGGAAGGUGGGGAUGACGUCAAAUCAUCAUGCCCCUUAUGACCUGGGCUACACACGUGCUACAAUGGAUGGUACAACGAGUUGCGAACUCGCGAGAGUAAGCUAAUCUCUUAAAGCCAUUCUCAGUUCGGAUUGUAGGCUG